This 71-nucleotide transfer RNA is filed under the name Patescibacteria group bacterium. RNAcentral describes it as "tRNA-Gln". It matches the Rfam family "tRNA". From Rfam's summary of the family: Transfer RNA (tRNA) molecules are approximately 80 nucleotides in length. Their secondary structure includes four short double-helical elements and three loops (D, anti-codon, and T loops). Further hydrogen bonds mediate the characteristic L-shaped molecular structure. tRNAs have two regions of fundamental functional importance: the anti-codon, which is responsible for specific mRNA codon recognition, and the 3' end, to which the tRNAs corresponding amino acid is attached (by aminoacyl-tRNA synthetases). tRNAs cope with the degeneracy of the genetic code in two manners: having more than one tRNA (with a specific anti-codon) for a particular amino acid; and 'wobble' base-pairing, i.e. permitting non-standard base-pairing at the 3rd anti-codon position. The record is from RNAcentral.
UGCGGGAUCGUAUAAUGGUAGUACGCAUGCCUCUGGAGCAUGUUAUCCUGGUUCGAGUCCAGGUCCCGCAG